Molecule: ribosomal RNA, 464 nt
Filed under: uncultured bacterium
Lineage: Bacteria
Description: bacterial SSU rRNA
Rfam family: Bacterial small subunit ribosomal RNA
Source: RNAcentral
CCUACGGGCCGCACCAGUGGGGAAUAUUGCACAAUGGGCGCAAGCCUGAUGCAGCCAUGCCGCGUGUAUGAAGAAGGCCUUCGGGUUGUAAAGUACUCUCAGCGAGGAGGAAGGCGAUAAGGUUAAUAACCUUGUCGAUUGACGUUACCCGCAGAAGAAGCACCGGCUAACUCCGUGCCAGCAGCCGCGGUAAUACGGAGGGUGCAAGCGUUAAUCGGAAUUACUGGGCGUAAAGCGCACGCAGGCGGUCUGUCAAGUCGGAAGUGAAAUCCCCGGGCUCAACCUGGGAACUGCAUUCGAAACUGGCAGGCUAGAGUCUUGUAGAGGGGGGUAGAAUUCCAGGUGUAGCGGUGAAAUGCGUAGAGAUCUGGAGGAAUACCGGUGGCGAAGGCGGCCCCUGGACAAAGACUGACGCUCAGGUGCGAAAGCGUGGGGAGCAAACAGGAUUAGAUACCCCGGUAGUC